RNAcentral lists this non-coding RNA (190 nucleotides) under pig gut metagenome. RNAcentral's name for it is "Lysine riboswitch". It matches the Rfam family "Lysine riboswitch aptamer". From Rfam's summary of the family: Riboswitches are metabolite binding domains within certain messenger RNAs that serve as precision sensors for their corresponding targets. Allosteric rearrangement of mRNA structure is mediated by ligand binding, and this results in modulation of gene expression. The record is from RNAcentral.
GACAGAGGCGCGGGCUUGAUGAGUCCUGCCGGAUGAGGGUGCCGAACCCGCGAUUGCACGAUCAGAUUCCGACAGAAAAGGCAAGACCGCCGAAGCAGCUCCGAUACGGUAUCGGAAUUGCUGGGCGCGUACCAAAUAGGUGCGUGACUGUCACACGGCAUUCAGACAGGAAUGCUUUGUGGAGUGCUGA